CCUACGGUGGGCUGCAGUGGGGAAUAUUGCGCAAUGGGCGCAAGCCUGACCCAGCAACGCCGCGUGAAGGAAGAAGGCUUUCGGGUCGUAAACUUCUUUUCUCAGGGACGAAGCAUUACACGGUACCUGAGGAAUAAGCUACGGCUAACUACGUGCCAGCCGCCGCGGUAAUACGUAGGUGGCACGCGUUAUCCGGAUGUAUUGGGUGUAAAGGGCGUGUAGGCGGGAGCGCAAGUCAGAUGUGAAAACUCAGGGCUCAACGCGGAGACUGCAUUUGAAACUGUGUUUCUGGAGUGCUGGAGAGGCAAGCGGAAUUCCGGGUGUAGCAGUGAAAUGCGUAGAUAUACGGAGGAACACCAGUGGCGAAGGCGGAUUGCUGGACAGUAACUGACGCUGAGGAGCGAAAGCGUGGGGAGCAAACAGGAUUAGAUACCCGAGUAGUC
This 443-nucleotide ribosomal RNA is filed under the name uncultured bacterium. RNAcentral describes it as "partial 16S ribosomal RNA". It matches the Rfam family "Bacterial small subunit ribosomal RNA", at positions 338 to 795 of the family's 1533-position model. The record is from RNAcentral.